AGUGAACGCUGGCGGUAGGCCUAACACAUGCAAGUCGAGCGGCAGCACAGUAAGAGCUUGCUCUUACGGGUGGCGAGUGGCGGACGGGUGAGGAAUACAUCGGAAUCUACUUUUUCGUGGGGGAUAACGUAGGGAAACUUACGCUAAUACCGCAUACGACCUACGGGUGAAAGCAGGGGAUCUUCGGACCUUGCGCGAUUGAAUGAGCCGAUGUCGGAUUAGCUAGUUGGCGGGGUAAAGGCCCACCAAGGCGACGAUCCGUAGCUGGUCUGAGAGGAUGAUCAGCCACACUGGAACUGAGACACGGUCCAGACUCCUACGGGAGGCAGCAGUGGGGAAUAUUGGACAAUGGGCGCAAGCCUGAUCCAGCCAUACCGCGUGGGUGAAGAAGGCCUUCGGGUUGUAAAGCCCUUUUGUUGGGAAAGAAAAGCAGCAGGUUAAUACCCCGCUGUUCUGACGGUACCCAAAGAAUAAACACCGGCUAACUUCGU
RNAcentral lists this ribosomal RNA (491 nucleotides) under uncultured bacterium. RNAcentral describes it as "partial 16S ribosomal RNA". It matches the Rfam family "Bacterial small subunit ribosomal RNA", at positions 29 to 506 of the family's 1533-position model. The record is from RNAcentral.